RNAcentral lists this ribosomal RNA (807 nucleotides) under uncultured Haplosporidia. Its description in RNAcentral is "SSU rRNA". It matches the Rfam family "Eukaryotic small subunit ribosomal RNA", at positions 1109 to 1831 of the family's 1831-position model. Lineage: Eukaryota; Endomyxa; Ascetosporea; Haplosporida. The record is from RNAcentral.
GGACUCGGGGGGAAGUAUGCUCGCAAGGGUGAAACUUAAAGAAAUUGACGGAAGGGCACCACCAGAUGUGGAGCCUGCGGCUUAAUUUGACUCAACACGGGAAAACUUACCAGGUCAAAACACAAGCAGGAUUGACAGAUUGAAGAUCUUUCUUGAUUUUGUGGUUGGUGGUGCAUGGCCGUUCUUAGUCCGUGUAGUGAUUUGGCAGGUUAAUUCCGUUAACGGACGAGACCUCAACCUGCUAAUUAGUUGUGGCCUUUUUUAGAUGCCGCGCGCGCGCUUGCGUGUGUGUUUUCUAUUUACGCACCUGCGCAAAUAUGCUAAUAUGUGCGCGAGCGUUCACGCGUUUGUCGUUACAAAAAGGCGGCGAAAGCUCGUGGAUUUUAACCCGCGCUCAACUUCUUAGAGGGACAAUCUGUGUUUAGCAGAAAGAAGUUUGAGGCAAUAACAGGUCUGUGAUGCCCCUAGAUGUCCUGGGCUGCACGCGCGCUACACUGGUGCAUUCAACAAGCUAAAACCUAAGUUGAAAGGCUCGGGUAAUCUUUUGAAAAUGCAUCGUGAUUGGGAUAGAUGAUUGUAAUUUUUCAUCUUGAACGAGGAAUAUCUAGUAAACGCAAGUCAUCAACUUGCAUUGAUUACGUCCCUGCCCUUUGUACACACCGCCCGUCGCUUCUACCGAUGAAUGGUCCGGUGAAUACAGUGGAGGAGAAUUAGAUGAACGUUUCCGUAACUGAUUCUUUCUCUAAAGCUGUAUAACCCUUACCAUUUAGAGGAAGGAGAAGUCGAAGGGCGAAUUUCCACAUUGGG